UCAUCACCUUUUUGAUUGGACUAGCAGAGGUUGGACUGUCGGAAGGCUGAAAAUGUAGAGGGGUAAGCAUCAUGGAGGUGGUGGUGUCAUUGGCUAUGGCAAUAGCUUAGGCCAUGACUAUCAGGAGAAGAGAAAAGAAGAGAGAGAGAUAAAGGAAGGAAGAAAAAAGUUGCAUGAGAGGAUGAAGAGAGAGAGAGAGAAGGGAAGGG
This 209-nucleotide long non-coding RNA is filed under the name Elaeis guineensis (African oil palm). RNAcentral describes it as "long non-coding RNA (EGUI_LNC026265)". Lineage: Eukaryota; Viridiplantae; Streptophyta; Magnoliopsida; Arecales; Arecaceae. The record is from RNAcentral.